RNAcentral lists this unclassified non-coding RNA (130 nucleotides) under uncultured fungus. Its description in RNAcentral is "sequence contains ITS1". The record is from RNAcentral. Lineage: Eukaryota; Fungi.
CAAAAGAACUUUGUUCUAACCCUCUGUGAACAUAUCUGUUGCCUCGGUGGAUUUUUGGUCUUCUCUGAUCAUCCACCGAAGGACCAAACUCAUUUGAUAUUGCCAUUCUGAAUUCCAAUAUAAAGAAUCA